UGGGGAAUAUUGGACAAUGGGCGCAAGCCUGAUCCAGCCAUGCCGCGUGAGUGAUGAAGGCCCUAGGGUUGUAAAGCUCUUUUGUGCGGGAAGAUAAUGACUGUACCGCAAGAAUAAGCCCCGGCUAACUUCGUGCCAGCAGCCGCGGUAAUACGAAGGGGGCUAGCGUUGCUCGGAAUCACUGGGCGUAAAGGGUGCGUAGGCGGGUCUUUAAGUCAGGGGUGAAAUCCUGGAGCUCAACUCCAGAACUGCCUUUGAUACUGAGGAGCUUGGGUUCGGGAGAGGUGAGUGGAACUGCGGGUGUAGAGGUGAAAUUCGUAGAUAUUCGCAAGAACACCAGUGGCGAAGGCGGCUCACUGGCCCGAUGCUGACGUUGAGGCACGAAAGCGUGGGG
This 394-nucleotide ribosomal RNA is filed under the name uncultured bacterium. RNAcentral describes it as "bacterial SSU rRNA". It matches the Rfam family "Bacterial small subunit ribosomal RNA", at positions 355 to 766 of the family's 1533-position model. The record is from RNAcentral.